RNAcentral lists this ribosomal RNA (495 nucleotides) under uncultured bacterium. RNAcentral's name for it is "partial 16S ribosomal RNA". It matches the Rfam family "Bacterial small subunit ribosomal RNA", at positions 28 to 507 of the family's 1533-position model. The record is from RNAcentral.
GACGAACGCUGGAGGCGUGCCUAAUACAUGCAAGUAGAACGCUGAAGGAGGAGCUUGCUUCUCUGGAUGAGUUGCGAACGGGUGAGUAACGCGUAGGUAACCUGCCUGGUAGCGGGGGAUAACUAUUGGAAACGAUAGCUAAUACCGCAUAAGAGUAGAUGUUGCAUGACAUUUGCUUAAAAGGUGCAAUUGCAUCACUACCAGAUGGACCUGCGUUGUAUUAGCUAGUUGGUGGGGUAACGGCUCACCAAGGCGACGAUACAUAGCCGACCUGAGAGGGUGAUCGGCCACACUGGGACUGAGACACGGCCCAGACUCCUACGGGAGGCAGCAGUAGGGAAUCUUCGGCAAUGGACGGAAGUCUGACCGAGCAACGCCGCGUGAGUGAAGAAGGUUUUCGGAUCGUAAAGCUCUGUUGUAAGAGAAGAACGAGUGUGAGAGUGGAAAGUUCACACUGUGACGGUAUCUUACCAGAAAGAGACGGCUAACUACGUG